RNAcentral lists this ribosomal RNA (399 nucleotides) under uncultured bacterium. Its description in RNAcentral is "partial 16S ribosomal RNA". It matches the Rfam family "Bacterial small subunit ribosomal RNA", at positions 338 to 734 of the family's 1533-position model. The record is from RNAcentral.
CCUACGGGUGGCAGCAGUGAGGAAUAUUGGUCAAUGGGCGCGAGCCUGAACCAGCCAAGUAGCGUGAAGGAUGACUGCCCUACGGGUUGUAAACUUCUUUUAUAAAGGAAUAAAGUGAGGCACGUGUGCCUUUUUGUAUUUACUUUAUGAAUAAGGAUCGGCUAACUCCGUGCCAGCAGCCGCGGUAAUCCGGAGGAUGCGAGCGUUAUCCGGAUUUAUUGGGUUUAAAGGUAGCGUAGAUGGGUUGUUAAGUCAGUUGUGAAAGUUUGCGGCUCAACCCGAAAAUUGCAAUUGAUACUGGCAGUCUAGAGUACAGUAGAGGGAGGCGGAAUUCGGGGUGUAGCGGUGAAAUGCUUAGAUAUCACGAAGAACACCGAUUGCGAAGGCAGCUUACUAAAC